GCGAGCGCAGUGCGGUGAAAGUCGCAUGCUGCGUUCUUCGGGGGCCGCGUUUCCGUGAGGGAACGUGGCUACCCUCU
This 77-nucleotide non-coding RNA is filed under the name Paraburkholderia steynii. The record is from RNAcentral. Lineage: Bacteria; Pseudomonadati; Pseudomonadota; Betaproteobacteria; Burkholderiales; Burkholderiaceae.